RNAcentral lists this ribosomal RNA (377 nucleotides) under uncultured bacterium. RNAcentral's name for it is "bacterial SSU rRNA". It matches the Rfam family "Bacterial small subunit ribosomal RNA", at positions 29 to 407 of the family's 1533-position model. The record is from RNAcentral.
AUUGAACGCUGGCGGCAUGCCUUACACAUGCAAGUCGAACGGCAGCACGGGAGCAAUCCUGGUGGCGAGUGGCGAACGGGUGAGUAAUAUAUCGGAACGUGCCCAGUAGUGGGGGAUAGCCCGGCGAAAGCCGGAUUAAUACUGCAUGAGACCUGAGGGUGAAAGCGGGGGAUCGCAAGACCUCGCGCUACUGGAGCGGCCGAUAUCAGAUUAGCUAGUUGGUGGGGUAAAGGCCUACCAAGGCAACGAUCUGUAGUUGGUCUGAGAGGACGACCAGCCACACUGGGACUGAGACACGGCCCAGACUCCUACGGGAGGCAGCAGUGGGGAAUUUUGGACAAUGGGCGCAAGCCUGAUCCAGCAAUGCCGCGUGCAGG